RNAcentral lists this ribosomal RNA (572 nucleotides) under Exophiala equina. Its description in RNAcentral is "eukaryotic LSU rRNA". The stretch from base 174 to 328 matches the Rfam family "5.8S ribosomal RNA". The record is from RNAcentral. Lineage: Eukaryota; Fungi; Ascomycota; Eurotiomycetes; Chaetothyriales; Herpotrichiellaceae.
CCCGACCUCCCAACCCUUUGUCUACUUGACCAUCGUUGCUUCGGCGAGCCCGUCCUCACGGACCGCCGGAGGGAUCUUUACUGGCCCUCUGGUCCGCGCUCGUCGGUAGCCCAACCUUUAAAAUCUUUAACUAAACGUGCCUUAAUCUAAGUACAAUUAUUAAAUAAAAGCAAAACUUUCAACAACGGAUCUCUUGGUUCUGGCAUCGAUGAAGAACGCAGCGAAAUGCGAUAAGUAAUGCGAAUUGCAGAAUUCCAGUGAGUCAUCGAAUCUUUGAACGCACAUUGCGCCCUUUGGUAUUCCGAAGGGCAUGCCUGUUCGAGCGUCAUUAUCACCCCUCAAGCCCUCGGCUUGGUGUUGGACGGUUUGGUGGAGGCCCCCUCGGGGGCUCCUGCCCCUCCCAAAGACAAUGACGGCGGCCUCGUUGGACCCCCGGUACACUGAGUUCUUCACGGGACACGUAUCGGACACAUGGGUUUACGGGACACGGUCUGCCUCCCCUCAGGGAGAAUCUUUCUAAGGUUGACCUCGGAUCAGGUAGGGAUACCCGCUGAACUUAAGCAUAUCAAUAA